Long non-coding RNA from Papaver somniferum (opium poppy), 2062 nucleotides. RefSeq lists it as uncharacterized. The record is from RefSeq and is a predicted model, not a curated record. NCBI's taxonomy places the organism in Eukaryota, Viridiplantae, Streptophyta, Magnoliopsida, Ranunculales, Papaveraceae. The transcript is spliced from 5 exons.
AUGUCUCUCUAAUUCUUAUUAUCUUCUUUUUUCUUUCUUUUUUUCUUUUUUCUUCUUAUUUUCUUCUCUCCCAGCAUCGAGUUCUCCUCCCCAUUUUUUCUUCUCAUCUGAGUUCUGACCCAAGACAAGACCUCCAAAUCAAACAACGUUUCUAUCAAUUAAAUUCGUUCUUCUAAACCCUAGACUCGUGAAUCAAAACUACUCCUGAAAUUAAACCUAACAUUUCAAUAAACAAAUCCUAGAAAUCUUUUUUUAGUUAAGUUGAAUGAUUAUGUACCUCCUAAUCAAGACAAGUUUUCAUAAAUCAAAACCAAUUCUCUUAAAUCCUAGUCCCGUGAAUCAAACCACUCCGGAAAUCAAACCUAAUAUUUCAAUAGACAAACCUAGAAAUCGUGUUUUUUUUUUUUUUUUUAUAUAUAUGUUGAAUGAUUUGUAAGGUGUGCUUGGAUCUAUCCUGAAGUUUUUUUCUCUAGUGAUGAACUAAUGAAUCAUGUAUGAUGAAGAUAGUUUAUGGUGAUUUAUUUCCUGAUUCAUAACAACAUCGUGCUCUCCCAGUUUGAGCUCUUGGGGCUUUGCUUUGAUCUUCAAUUUCUUGGUUUUAAGGGCGGAGAAGAAGGGAUUUCUUGGUAUUGUUUCAUUAUUGCUCAUAAGGUCCUAAAUUUCCUACAACCGCAACCUUGGGUUGUGUAUUCCGUUCACAGUUUGAUUGGUGUUUCAAUUGGUCGUCUUUGAGCGCUUAACUAUCUACAACCGCAACCUUUUUAUGUCAUCUUUGAGCGUUUAACUAUCUAAGCUACCCAAUCAAAGUUCUCUUUACGAUGUGCUGAAUUUCUUCUCACAGGAAGUUAACGAGUGUGUUAUUUCUUUCAUAGGCCGUAGCUUGUACCAUGUUUAAUUUUUCCACUAUUAUAGCUUUUAUCAUGUUCUUUUUUUUUUUUUGAGUUUGCACCGCUUACUGUAGUCUUUGUCCUGUGGCUCCUGUCUUAUAGUACAACAUUUAACUUCAGAAUGCAGGUCAUAUUACUUAGUAAUUUGAUGUUUCUUAUGUAUAUGAUGUGCUGGUCAGACAUCUGUAGUUUUGUACCUUGGUCUUAGAGGCCCAAAUGGUGCUGCAUCGGGGGCAGGCAUCUUCUUGAUAUCCAAGGGUUUGUUGUUGCUCAAGUGCUCUCUCUUUCUCUUCUCGUGUCUCUCUUGCACACGUAAUUAUUGAACAAUAAUUGAAUUUCUAGCCGCAUCUCAUUAUGAUAACAUCUAGGCUUAUUUUUCUCUGCAACAAUAAUCGGGGCCAUGGUUUCUUUGAUAAACUUAUCAGGUUCAUUUUCUUCUUUCUUUCAUGGAAGGGUAAUCCAACUUUGGUAAUUCAUUGUAUACAGAUUAUACCCAUAAAGUGGACUUUCCACAAGGUUCUGCUAACACUCCUACUCAAAAGAGCUCUCAUUGUCAUACCAUUUCUGAUGAAAAUGAAAAGUUCACAUCUAAUUCUAUACUUGGGGUAAUUUUUCAUAAGGUAUUGUUGGAGUGGCAGCAAUUGCAGUACAAUUACUUGUGGAGCAUUGAAGGAUUGCAGUUCUAUUCCAUGCUAACCGGAAGAGUGUAAGGACCUACGCCAGCGUGUGAAAGAUAGUCAGAUGAAGAGGCUCACUUCUUUGUAUGUUGAAGGGAAGGCUAGACAUCUGCACCAGGAUAUCACAUGUGAUGUAAGCUUUCUUGACCCUUGGUAAAAAAUUUGAAGUAUGGUGGUAAGUUUCUUCAUUUUGGUUUGUGCCCAUCCAGUUGUCAAGACUCAAUUGUGUGAGGUUUCCUUUUUUCUUGAUAAGAUGGGACAGUAGUAUACUAGAGGAUUCCUAAAUUGAACGGCAGAAUCCAAAUAAAAAUGUAAAAGAAAAACCUGUUGUACAGGAGUAUCAUUUUAAAUUCAAAGAAGUUUUGUAAUAGGUCUUUAACUGUUGAUGCAUAAAAUCCGUUUGCGGAUGUAUCUACUUUUAAAUUUCUCAUAUAUAGCAGCGCAUUGUAGAUUUUAACGUUUUCUUGAAACUUUUAUUUUGUAUUGCCUAUGCUAUUC